CUGCCCCUAGUUACACGUGUCUAGGGGGCGUGCCGGCGACAAGCCGGAGGAAGGUGGGGAUGACGUCAAGUCAGCAUGGCCUUGAUGCCCGGGGCUACACACACGCUACAAUGCCCGGUACAAUGGGUUGCCAACCCGCGAGGGGGAGCCAAUCCCAUCAAAGCCGGGCUCAGUUGGGAUUGCAGGCUGCAACCCGCCUGCAUGAACGCGGAGUUGCUAGUAACCGCCGGUCAGCCAUACGGCGGUGAA
RNAcentral lists this ribosomal RNA (249 nucleotides) under uncultured bacterium. Its description in RNAcentral is "partial 16S ribosomal RNA". It matches the Rfam family "Bacterial small subunit ribosomal RNA", at positions 1105 to 1366 of the family's 1533-position model. The record is from RNAcentral.